Molecule: ribosomal RNA, 510 nt
Filed under: uncultured bacterium
Lineage: Bacteria
Description: bacterial SSU rRNA
Rfam family: Bacterial small subunit ribosomal RNA
Source: RNAcentral
CGAACGCUGGCGGCGUGCCUAAUACAUGCAAGUCGAACGAAACUUUCUUACACCGAAUGCUUGCAUUCACCGUAAGAAGUUGAGUGGCGGACGGGUGAGUAACACGUGGGUAACCUGCCUAAAAGAAGGGGAUAACACUUGGAAACAGGUGCUAAUACCGUAUAUCUCUAAGGAUCGCAUGAUCCUUAGAUGAAAGAUGGUUCUGCUAUCGCUUUUAGAUGGACCCGCGGCGUAUUAACUAGUUGGUGGGGUAACGGCCUACCAAGGUGAUGAUACGUAGCCGAACUGAGAGGUUGAUCGGCCACAUUGGGACUGAGACACGGCCCAAACUCCUACGGGAGGCAGCAGUAGGGAAUCUUCCACAAUGGACGCAAGUCUGAUGGAGCAACGCCGCGUGAGUGAAGAAGGUCUUCGGAUCGUAAAACUCUGUUGUUAGAGAAGAACACGAGUGAGAGUAACUGUUCAUUCGAUGACGGUAUCUAACCAGCAAGUCACGGCUAACUACGUGCC